Oryza brachyantha (malo sina) is the source of this 191-nucleotide non-coding RNA. The record is from Rfam. Lineage: Eukaryota; Viridiplantae; Streptophyta; Magnoliopsida; Poales; Poaceae.
AAUAAUCUUAUUUUUGUUUUUCGUAUCCAAUAUUUGACCAUUCGGCUUAUUCGAGAAAUUUAUAUAAAAACAUAAAAAAAUUACUCACGUAUAAAAUACUAUUUAUAUUUUAUCAUCUAGUAAUAAUAAAAAUUUUAAUCACAAAAAAAUUUAAAUAAGACAAAUAGUCAAACGUUGGACACGGAAAAACA